RNAcentral lists this unclassified non-coding RNA (306 nucleotides) under plant metagenome. RNAcentral describes it as "partial contains 5.8S ribosomal RNA, internal transcribed spacer 2, and large subunit ribosomal RNA". The stretch from base 1 to 105 matches the Rfam family "5.8S ribosomal RNA", at positions 50 to 154 of the family's 154-position model. The record is from RNAcentral.
GAAAUGCGAUAAGUAGUGUGAAUUGCAGAAUUUAGCGAAUCAUCGAAUCUUUGAACGCACAUUGCGCCCCUUGGUAUUCCAUGGGGCAUGCCUGUUCGAGCGUCAUUUCAACCCUCAAGCACUGCUUGGUGUUGGGCGUUUGUCCCGCCUACGCGCGUGGACUCGCCUCAAAGUCAUUGGCAGCUGUUCCCCUUCGGCUCGUAAGCGCAGCACAGUCGGCGCCCGAGCUCUGGUGGGAUGGCGUCCAGCAAGCUAUAUUUUCAGGCUUGACCUCGGAUCAGGUAGGGAUACCCGCUGAACUUAAGC